Molecule: small nuclear RNA, 142 nt
Filed under: Crocodylus porosus (Australian saltwater crocodile)
Lineage: Eukaryota; Metazoa; Chordata; Crocodylia; Crocodylidae
Description: U1 spliceosomal RNA (ENSCPRG00005003442.1)
Rfam family: U1 spliceosomal RNA
About the family: U1 is a small nuclear RNA (snRNA) component of the spliceosome (involved in pre-mRNA splicing). Its 5' end forms complementary base pairs with the 5' splice junction, thus defining the 5' donor site of an intron. There are significant differences in sequence and secondary structure between metazoan and yeast U1 snRNAs, the latter being much longer (568 nucleotides as compared to 164 nucleotides in human).
Source: Rfam by way of RNAcentral
UUACCAAAAAAAAAAGGGGACUCCCCAGGGCGAGGCCUGCCCCUUGCACUCUGGGCAUGCUGGCCCCUGCAAUUUCCCCAAAUGCAGGAAACUCGACUGCAUAAUUUGUGGUAGUGUGGGACUGCGUGCGCGCUUUCCCCCG